GCCUCGAUCCCAUAAACCUUUAAUUAACAACUAAAAACCCAAGCCAGCGGGCUUCAAUCUACUUCUCCCGUUAAAAAAAUACGGGAGAAGCCCCGGCAC
This 99-nucleotide transfer RNA is filed under the name Dierogekko thomaswhitei. RNAcentral describes it as "tRNA-Asx". Lineage: Eukaryota; Metazoa; Chordata; Lepidosauria; Squamata; Diplodactylidae. The record is from RNAcentral.